UUUUGUUUUUAUCUUGAUGUCUUGAUGAGUUAAGAACCGAGCUUGGAAAGAAAUGUUGCAGAGAGUUGAAGGCAGAAAGUAGAAAAGAAAAGCCUCUGUUUUCAUUAACAGAGGCAGAACUGCCUUCCCAUUUUCCUAUCUAACUAAAAGACAGGUGGUUUUUAGUUGGUUAGUUAGUUGAAUAAAGGGGGGAUCUUGGUUUAAAUUCUGAAAAUCAGCAUUUUGGAUCUGUCUCUAUCGUUUGCAAUAACUCCUAGGAAUCAACUAAUUCUGACUAAAUUUUGUGUCUUGUAGUUUAGUAUGGCUCAUAACUUAUACUUUCAUUUCUAUACACAAUCAUCUUAUGAGGAAAGCAGAACAAAUAUUAUUUUCUCAUUCUUAUAAAUGAAGCAAACACUCAGCAAGCUGACUUGUCUGGCUUGCCUGGUGUGGCACAGUGAGUAGCCAUAGUGAGGUCAGUGCCAGGCCUCCGACUCCUGGUGCACAGUCUUCUUCAUUUUGAAUUGUGCUGGUGCCACCGACUUAAAUUGUGACCAGUAAUUUUUCAAAGGAGCAUAUAUGUUCUGUGGCUUAUAUUAACAUUUGUCUCAUGGAUAUGUGAUAACACGAAAUGAGACAUUUAGUCAGCUGUGUUGUUAACUAUAUUCCUGGCUUUCAACAUUGGCUAAGCAUAGAAUCGCAUGAGAAAAUUUUAUUUUUUAUUUUUUAUCUUUUUAUGGAGUCUUGCUGUGUCACCCAGCCUGGGCAACAGAGCAAGAUUCUGUCU
RNAcentral lists this long non-coding RNA (766 nucleotides) under Homo sapiens (human). RNAcentral describes it as "HSALNT0219462". Lineage: Eukaryota; Metazoa; Chordata; Mammalia; Primates; Hominidae. The record is from RNAcentral.